Drosophila willistoni is the source of this 597-nucleotide long non-coding RNA. RefSeq lists it as uncharacterized. NCBI's taxonomy places the organism in Eukaryota, Metazoa, Arthropoda, Insecta, Diptera, Drosophilidae. The record is from RefSeq and is a predicted model, not a curated record. The transcript has 3 exons.
GCAAUAAGUCCAUCCAAGAAAAAGGAAAAACAAAGUACAAGCAAAAAUUUGGUGUGCGGUUGUUUUCUGUUUUCGUUUUUCGUUUCCAGCUGUUUUCGUCGCCUUGCACACUCUUGGCGCCUUUAGUGUCCCCCGACCGGCAACCCGGCCAACCCCCCUUUUUGGCCAAGCCAAUCUCCAUUUUACUCUGGCAAACUCUCAGCAAACUCCUCAAGUUGAAGUUGAAACUAAAGUCGUUAGUUAUUAAUAACAUUUCAUGACAAAUAUUGAAUUGCUGCUUGUAACAGUGAAAUGUGAAAAUGUAACUCGAUGCGCGGUUGGAAAUAUAAGUAGUUCGGAUUUUAUAUUGCCACUUUGACAACAACAACUACAACCACAACAGCUACAUACAUAAUACAUACUACAGGGUAUGCAAGUCAAUAUUGGGAUCAAUUGUGAAUGGCAAUGGCAGAAAUAGAGAUGACAAUAAUGAUGAUGGUGGCACAGAAACAAAUGAUGCAGAUGAUGAUGAUGACGAUGAUGAUGAUGAUGGUGAUGAUACUGGCACCAAAUGGUUCCUAAGAGACAGAGAACAGAGACACAAAGCCGGAGAGAGAG